AACCUGACUAGUAUCCAUAAGGAUGAGAGUUGGAUCCUUGGCCUUGCUCAUUGGGUUAAGGAUCUGGCAUUGCUAUGAGCUGUGGUAUAGGUCUCAGAUGUGGCUCAGAUCUGGCAUUGCUGUGGCUAUGGCGUAGGCCGACAGCUACAGCUCUGAUUUGACCUCCAGCCUGGAAACUUCCAUAUGCCAGAGGCGCGUCCCUAAAAAGAAAAUAAUAAUAAUAAUAAUUUGUACAAUUCAAUAAGUGAACUGCUAAUACUGGGGUAGAAAAUAAUGGACAACAGAAAAUGAUAAGUGACUUACAAAAUAAAAAAAUAUGUAUAGUUACUGUGCAUAGUAAAAUUAUUCAACAUUACGGCUAAUCAAAGAAACGCAUAUUAAGGUGAUGAAAUGACAUUUAUUUCUAUCAAUCUGCGGGUUUAGUGAAAUGGGCACAGCCAUGCACUACUUUGUAUAUUAGUACAACCUUUGGAAAAAUAAUUUGGGAACAUCCAUCCAAUUGUACCACAAUUUAAAAAUUAAAAAUUUGUGGUACAAUUUAAAAAUCUAACAAAUCUAACAAAAAUUGUACUUCCAAAUAUAUGCUGCUAUCUCUUGUCUCUUUUGUGAGGUCUUUUGUAUGACAGCCUUCGUGUCACUAUGUAAAAUGAAAAUUGGAAACAACCUCACUGUCUAAUCUUCAAGGACAGGUUAAGUAUGUUAGGAUACAGCACGCAAUAUCAUUCUAUAAGACCUUUAGUUAUUGUGUCUAAAUAUUUCCUUAUGUUCACCAAUAAAUGAAAAAGCAAGUUUCAAAAGUAUUAGGGUAUGAUUCUAUUUCUGUUAAAUUAUAUAUUUCAGAGAAAAGGGCUAGGAAUUGAUACGUCAAGUUGUCUAUUACCGUUACAUGUGGGUGGGUGGAAUUAUGCGUGUUUAUUUUGUUUUUUAUCCUACGCAUAUUUUUUUCCAUAAUGAUCAUAUGUGUUGGAUAGAGAGGAAAAAACUCAAAAUUUAUUUUUGUUUCCAUCCUGCAGAAGUUAUGUGAGGAGACCAAAUGACAUAUCUAGCCUAAGACAUAUUAUUACCUCCAACAAUACUUUUUUCAUCUAAAAAUUAUCUAUCCUACAGAUUCUUCCUUUCUAGAAUGCUUUUCACCCAUCUUAUUCAUGGGUCAUCUCAGCUGGUGAUGACUUUCAUAUCUCUCUAAGGGAUCAUAUAGUUUGUUUCUAUUCAGUAAAAUCUCCCAAUUACAAGUAAUGAAAUCAAACUAUUCUAAAUUAAGAUCUUUGGAAGGGGAAACCAAGUCAGUGAAUAGCUUAGUAUGAUUUAAAUGAAUCCCUGAAGAAAUAAAGCAGAGCCUUGGCUUUCAUCUUAUCCCCUGCCUUUGGAAUAAGAAUGUUAGAUCAGCCAACUUAAUGCUUAGGAAAACCAAAAAAGAAAAUCAAAUGUUCAGGAAAACCAAAAAAGGAAAGAAAACUUUAUUUUUAUUUACUUAUUUAUUUAUUUUUUAGGGCCACACCUGCACCAUAUGGAAGUUCCCAGGCAAUGGGUCGAAUCGGAACUGCAGCUGCCAGCCUACAUCACAGCCACAGCAAUGCAGGAUCUGAGCCAGUCUGUGAUCUACACCACAGUUCAUGGCAAUGCAGGAUCCUUAACCCACUGAGCGAGGCCAGAGAUUGAACCCAUGUCCUCAUGGAUCCUAGUUGGGUUCUUAACCCACUAAGCCAUGAUUGGAACUCCAUAUUUAAAAAAAUUACUUAUUUAUUUCUUGGCUGAAUCCAUGGUAUGAGAAAGUUUUGGGGCCAGGGAUGGAACCCAGGCCAUAGCAGUGACAACACUGAGACCUUAACUGCCAGCCCGCCAGGGAACUCCAGAAAAGAAAACUUUAAAUUCUAGUGGCCAUAACAAGGAUAAAGAUGCUCACUAAUGGCAUGUUUGCAGCAUUUAUCCAAAAGACAGUAGUAUGACCUAAAUAUGUUUAAAAUGAACAUCAGGAACAAUCUUGGAAGGAAAAAAGCAGACAUAACAUAUAGAUUCUGGAAUUGUCAAGACCUCAGAGAUUCACAGCUCAGCCCUGCAUCUUGCAAACUGUGAGAUUAUAGAAUGGCACAUAAGUCUGCUUGAGGGGAGAUUAUACCAAAGGAAAGGUGUAAUAAGUAUGAAAAUCUCAUUAAAUAUAUCAUGCACUAGACAAUUAAUAAACAUCAGUCUCCUUUAUUCCCAAGAGCUGAGUUAGAAGGAAGAGGAGGAGAAAGCAGGAAAUUCUCACCUCGAACCACAAUGGUCAGAAUUUCAGGCACAACCCUAAACAUGGUGGGGGAAACAUACAUGUAUUUGGAGGGAGGAAAACAGGUAAUGAUUGGGAAGAAGAGGGAUUUUUAAAUAAUUUUAACAUCCGAGAAUAAGAACGAAGAAAAAUAUAUGGUUAUAAAGAGCAGUGACAAGGAAGAUGUAGAGCUCAAGGAAUUGUUGGAACCCAUGGAUUAUUAUUUUUGGGAAUCAGCAGUUUCUCUCCCUGCCAUGCCUCCCCCUGGAUCAUUCCGAGGGAUCUUAGGUAUGUGGCUUAAUGGUUUUGCUAUUACAACAUGAGAAAGCAAUGCCUUCCUCUUUUUACCUAGUCAAAUGCUACAAAGACAAUAUAUUACGAUCUUUAAAAAUGUUUUGAGCUCAAUAGAAGAUAACACAAAGUAUCAUAGUUGUCAUUUGCAAUGUGGUUGAAGGUAUGAGUUUUAUCUUAGAACUCUGAAGAGAGAGACAACUCCAUCUUACUUCCAGUUUAAGUAGUUUGGAGGAGAUUUGAAAUUUUAGGCACUCUUGAAGCAUGAGAAAUGAAAAGGAAGUUUGAUUUAAGAAAAAAACAGUUUAUGAAGUGCAUGGUUGGAGCUGGGGCUGGCAGUCAGGAAAAUGGGAAUGGAUGUGUGGUAUGUACCUCGUACUGAGUGUGGUUUGAGAGAGUUAGUGUGAAUUAGAAAUAUCAUGAUGUGAAAUACAUCCACCACAAGGUCUGCUAUUGUGGGUUUGAGUUUGAAAUAUUGAAGUGUUUCUUUAGGAUCAAAGCUUUGGCAGGGUGAGGUGGGCAUGGGGACAGGUUCCAGUCUGGCUAGAAGGAAAAACUCCACAUUCUCCUCAGGAGACAUGUAGUCUGAGAAAAUGCUUUUGGUUGCUCAGUGUGUACGUGUUCACAUUUAUUUUGGAGUACUUUUUGAAAUUUCUUAAGUAAAAAUGCCUCUGCUUUGAAACAGGGCAAUCACGGUAGCUAUUAUUGCUGUUUCUCUGUCUCUCUCUGUCUUUGUCUCUGUCUAUCUGUCUCUGUCUCUGUCUCUGUGUGUCUCUCUCUCUCUCACACACACACACACACACAUCAGUAUUUACUCUUUGAUGCUUUGCUGUACCUGCCUUUGGGUGCACACAGUAAGUUGGAAAGAAUCCUUUUGAGGUCUACUUUGAGCUCCUUACAUGAACUCUCUGGAGGAGAAAGGCAUGCCACAGUGAAUUCCAGAACUUUUCUUCUACCAUAAGUAUGGCUAGUUUUAUUUGAAGUCAAAAUGGCAAGUGAAGAAUGAAGGAUGUUUCCAGUAUUUAGAGAAGGAAGAGGGGACCUGGACAGACAUAGGCCACUCAGGGCCAUGUGCCUUGCUGCAUCUCAGGGCCAAGACAGUGCUGCCACUUGGCUGCAUCACUCAAGGAACAACCUAUUGUGAAGGACAAGCCUGAGCAUUCAGGCCAGAUGUUCAUGGGAUCUUGCACCUUCCCAGGAAAUUAAUUUCAGGAUAAAAGCAAAGCAGAUGACUGGCAAAGGCUCCUGUGAUGGAUAUUGAAAAUGUCAAGGAACAAAAGACAUAGGAAAUAAGAGUUCCCUGUGGAUGCAGCUCUCCCAGCUGUAUCUGAGAAAAGUGAGGCCACAUCCCAUUCCCUGCCACAAACCCACCACUCGUUCUGAGAGAGUGAAAUCCAGGAGAGGAUUUGGCCCUGUUUCCUAUAUGCCAACUGAAAUAGCAGUAGGGAUAGAUAGUUCCCCAUUCCCAGGACGCCAACCCUUCUUUUCUCCCUCCAAAUGGAAGUCUUUGGGUGGAGCAAAAGCUUUUCCCCAAACAAGGGCCAUAGAUGGCCAAAUUCCUUGAGGCAGGGACUAGAGGUUAUUUAUACUUGUAUUCCUAUUUCCAAGCAGUGGGACCCCCAUAUAGUGUUUGAUAAAUGUUCGUUUGCUGAACGCACAAACUGGAGUAAAGUGUACGUGUGUUUGGGUGGUUGGGGAGGAGGGAAUUCUGGAGCAACUCCUCUGGGUCAGGGGCCGAGCACAGGACUAUGAUCUUUAUAUGAGCUGUCUCACUCACUCCUUCUACCAGUGCUACAAGAGAGGUCACUGGAACUCCUCAGAAGAUGGAGGCACAUGGAGAUUCAUUUAAGUUAUUGUGGAUUUGUAUUUGAAUCGAGAUCUGUCCACCCCAAAGCAUGGACUCCUUUCAUAUCAUGGUGAUGGAGAGUCUCAUUGAUUGUAUCCUCUCAGUCAAUGUGUGAAUCUUACAAGGUGUGAAGUUGGGUAACCCCUUUACUAUACCAUUUUAGAGAAGUGCCUCUUUCUGGUUGAUAGGCGAAUCUAUUCUACAUUCCUCUCUGAAGGAGCCCAUGGACUCUGAAUUAGUGUGGAGUAACGUAAAUAUUACUGAAGUUGAAUCUUUGGAUGUACUUCUAGCAUUUUCUGUAACUGGAUAUGGUACCAUGUGAAUCAGUUUGCCUUUCUGAGCUUCAGUUUGUUCAGUAGUCAAACAGGAAUAUGUAAUAUUGCCUGUGUUUUCACCACAGAGAAUGAUCUUGAAUCAAGGAUUAAAUUAGAUGAAUUUCAUGAAAGAAUUUGAAAUCUGCUAAAUUGUUAAGGUCAGAGGCACUGUCUUUUAUCUUUACAAGCCCUGAAACACCUGGGAAAAUGCUCAAUAAAUUUGUGAAAUAGAGGAAGUAGUGUAGCUUCAUACUCAAAUACAAGAUUUCCCUUUGUCAGGGCAGAAGAUCUAAAUACUUUUCCAAAAAAGGCAUACAUAUGGCCAAGAGGCACAUGAAAAUAUGUUCAACAUUGCUAAUUAUUAUAGAAAUGCAAAUCAAAACUAAAAUGAGGUAUCACCUCACACCAGUCAGAAUGCCCAUCAUCAAAAACUCUACAAAAAAAUAGGAAUUCCCACUGUUACGGUGCAGUGGGACCAUAACUACGAGGUUGCGGGUUUGAUCCCUGGUCUCACUCAGUGGGUUAAGGAUCCAGCAUUGCUGUGGCUGUGGUGUAGGCCAGCAGCUGCAGCUCCAAUUUGACC
Molecule: long non-coding RNA, 5279 nt
Filed under: Sus scrofa (pig)
Lineage: Eukaryota; Metazoa; Chordata; Mammalia; Artiodactyla; Suidae
Description: lncRNA (ENSSSCG00000060616.1, ENSSSCG00090016028.1)
Source: RNAcentral